UUUGUGCAAUGGGAAUCAGAUCGUGAUAAGAUCACGAUAAUGAGAUCGAUUCACCUUUAAACACAUAUCCUAAAUAAUCCAGGUCAUAGGUUACUCGAGAGGGACAUCGUGAUAACCAGACAGACUGGUGUGCUGUAUACCCAUCCAUAUGAUGGAUGCAGUUAGUCUCGUAGCUGCUCGUGUAGGGAUACUAGGGAUACAAUACAGGUGCUCAUUGGAGAAUGAGUUCACUGAUUGAUCCGCUUACGGAAUGCUGGAUGGUUGAUGAUGCCUUAUUGUCAGACAGCGAUUCCGUUGUCCUAGUGGU
RNAcentral lists this long non-coding RNA (307 nucleotides) under Musa acuminata (dwarf banana). RNAcentral describes it as "long non-coding RNA (MACU_LNC009244)". The record is from RNAcentral. Lineage: Eukaryota; Viridiplantae; Streptophyta; Magnoliopsida; Zingiberales; Musaceae.